ACAGUAGCAAUGAAAAAAAAAGUUGAAAAUCGUCUCCAUGGGACCAAAUCAACAAAAUUUAGUUUACCUGCUUAGCACUUGCACAACACAAAUCAUUUACACAUCCACAAGAGUCAAAUUUUAGUUACAUAAUCAUGUAGCUAAUAGCUCACAAAAUUCUCCGUGCUAGCGCACGACCUAGAGGUUUUCAUGGAUAGAACAUCGCCGUGCAAUUCGAACACGCCCGCUCUCCAUUAAUCACCAUCCGGCACAGUAAUAUACAUGAUUCCCCUAGAGUCGCAAAUGUUUAUCAAACGCAUCACACUAAACACCACCACAGGGUGAUCGACGUUACGGAAAUUCAUUUCGAAUGGAGUCCAACGUCCUACUGCGUUGAUUCAGAUACAACAAAUAAAAAAAAAACAAAAAAAUUAAGAAGACAUAGACAUUAUGCUUAGCAUUGUUAAUCAUCUGAAGAUAGGUUAUUUUUAGUUAUUUUGGGAUUCGGGACAAGAAAGUAACGCAAAUACAAUUUGCAAAAAAAGUUUCCCCUCCACAAUGUAUCGAGACGACGGCUUCAAUAGAUAUUACUUAGAAUAAGUUAGCUUUAGUCUUACGAUGUAAGAACCGGCGACAAACUUUCCUACUACCCGCUGCGAAAAAUAUCAAAAUCCAAAAAAAUAUUUCGUUAAUUUUUUUGACUAUGGCAGGUCUAGUCAAUUAUUUUGUGUCAAAAUCUAAUGUCCCAACAGAAGAUAUUUGACCAAAAUAUCUAUUUUUGUUGAAACUGCAAAAAAAAAAAAAAUUAAAAAAACUUGAAAAGACCAAAAAACAACUUGUCACUUAGGUACCAUCGCUAAUGUAUUUUGAAAAUAUCCAAUGUUUGCAUCUUUAGAUUAGCAAAUGCGACAUUUUAAUAUUUCAAAGGCUUUCCCGAAACAGAAAAAACGGCAAUUGAUUAAGUGAAAUGGGUCAAGCUUGGUCAGUUGUUAGAAAAAAAAUUCAAAACCAUGAUUUACCAUUGUAUGAAGCUUUCCUGAAUCUAAAGCUACUUGUAAAACGAUAAAUCAAAAAAAAAAAAACAAAAAAAUGUUAAAUUAAGUUAGAUUAAGUUAGGAUUAGUAUGUUAUUUAAUGAUUAUUGAUACAAAUACUCUCCAUAUUGCUAUAUUAGUUACAACAACUUCUUUAUACUAUUGAUAACUAUUCCUGACACACAGCUACAAAAUAUAAAAUCGCAAAAAAAUUGAAAAGAUAAAAAAAUAAUGAAAAAACAAACCUUGGUAUAGUUCAAUUUAUAUAUGAGAUUGUGAUAAAGCAAAGUCAAAGACGGUCAAAGCUUUAGCAUACCCUUGUCUACUAGUUAUAGUUAUAAAAAUAGUAAAAUACCAAAAAAAAAACAUGUCCAUGUUUGAAAAUUGUUAUACAUACGCGUCACAAAAAUGAUACAAUCACAGAAUACCCCUAAACAUAAAAAUAAAAAAAAAAAUAGUUAAUUUAGUUUAGAUUAGAUUAAGUUAGUUUUAGUCACAAUUUUGUAAAAUAUCUGAUAUUGAUUUUGUUGGCACCAAAAUCAACAGAGGAUAUUUAUGGACUUAACAUCUAUUGCCAACAAAAUUGUUUGUUUUCGUACCAAAUACAGAAAUAGCAAAACACUUAAAAUUGAAUUGAAAGAAAUCCCUAUAAGAGAAUAAUAAUGUUACAUGUACAAGUCAUAAAAAUGAUACAACUGUUGUAAAGAAGAUAAAAAAAACAAAAAAAAAUGUUAUUAGAAUUAGAUUAUAUUAGAAUUAGAUUAUAUUAGAAUUAGAUUAUAUUAGAAUUAGAUUAUAUUAGAAUAAGUUAGUUUUAGUCACAAUUUUGUAAAAUAUCCAAUGUUGAUUUGCCAGGUUCCGAAAUCAACAAAGGAUAUUUUUGGUAUUAACAUCUAUUGCCGACAGAAUUGUUUAUUUACAUUGGUUAGUCGUACAUUUGGGUCCUGAUGAGAGAUUAUUGUACAAUGUUAACUGUUCCAAAUAAAAAAAUAGAAAAUCCAA
Long non-coding RNA from Aethina tumida (small hive beetle), 2014 nucleotides. RefSeq lists it as uncharacterized. The record is from RefSeq and is a predicted model, not a curated record. The transcript has 3 exons. Lineage: Eukaryota; Metazoa; Arthropoda; Insecta; Coleoptera; Nitidulidae.